This 505-nucleotide ribosomal RNA is filed under the name uncultured bacterium. RNAcentral describes it as "partial 16S ribosomal RNA". It matches the Rfam family "Bacterial small subunit ribosomal RNA", at positions 28 to 507 of the family's 1533-position model. The record is from RNAcentral.
GACGAACGCUGGCGGCGUGCCUAAUACAUGCAAGUAGAACGCACAGUUUAUACCGUAGCUUGCUACACCAUAAACUGUGAGUUGCGAACGGGUGAGUAACGCGUAGGUAACCUGCCUGGUAGCGGGGGAUAACUAUUGGAAACGAUAGCUAAUACCGCAUAAUAUUGAUUAUUGCAUGAUAAUUGAUUGAAAGAUGCUAUUGCAUCACUACCAGAUGGACCUGCGUUGUAUUAGCUAGUAGGUGAGGUAACGGCUCACCUAGGCGACGAUACAUAGCCGACCUGAGAGGGUGAUCGGCCACACUGGGACUGAGACACGGCCCAGACUCCUACGGGAGGCAGCAGGAGGGAAUCUUCGGCAAUGGACGAAAGUCUGACCGAGCAACGCCGCGUGAGUGAAGAAGGUUUUCGGAUCGUAAAGCUCUGUUGUAAGAGAAGAACGGGUGUGAGAGUGGAAAGUUCACACUGUGACGGUAUCUUACCAGAAAGGGACGGCUAACUACGUG